AGAGUUUGAUCCUGGCUCAGGACGAACGCUGGCGGCGUGCUUAACACAUGCAAGUCGAACGAAGAACUAGAGAUGAAUUCUUCGGAAGGAAUUUUUAGUUACUUAGUGGCGGACGGGUGAGUAACGCGUGAGCAACCUGCCCAUAAGAGGGGGAUAACAGCUGGAAACGGCUGCUAAUACCGCAUAAGACCACAUUGCCACAUGGCAGAGGGGUCAAAGAUUUAUCGCUUAUGGAUGGGCUCGCGUCUGAUUAGCUAGUUGGUAGGGUAACGGCCUACCAAGGCGACGAUCAGUAGCCGACCUGAGAGGGUGAUCGGCCACACUGGAACUGAGACACGGUCCAGACUCCUACGGGAGGCAGCAGUGGGGAAUAUUGGGCAAUGGGGGAAACCCUGACCCAGCAACGCCGCGUGAGGGAAGAAGGCUUUCGAGUUGUAAACCUCUGUCCUAUGGGAAGAAGAAAGUGACUGUACCAUAGGAGGAAGCUCCGGCUAACUACGUGCCAGCAGCCGCGGUAAUACGUAGGGAGCAAGCGUUGUCCGGAAUUACUGGGCGUAAAGGGUGCGUAGGCGGCGCAGUUAGUCAGAAGUGAAAUAUCGGGGCUUAACCCCGGGGCUGCUUCUGAUACUGCUGUGCUCGAGUGCAGGAGAGGUAAGUGGAAUUCCUAGUGUAGCGGUGAAAUGCGUAGAUAUUAGGAGGAACACCAGUGGCGAAGGCGACUUACUGGACUGUAACUGACGCUGAGGCACGAAAGCGUGGGUAGCAAACAGGAUUAGAUACCCUGGUAGUCCACGCUGUAAACGAUGAAUACUAGGUGUAGGGGUCAUAAGACUUCUGUGCCGGAGCAAACGCAAUAAGUAUUCCGCCUGGGGAGUACGGCCGCAAGGCUGAAACUCAAAGGAAUUGACGGGGGCCCGCACAAGCAGCGGAGCAUGUGGUUUAAUUCGAAGCAACGCGAAGAACCUUACCAAGGCUUGACAUCCCGAUGACCGGCGUAGAGAUACGCCUUCUCUUCGGAGCAUCGGUGACAGGUGGUGCAUGGUUGUCGUCAGCUCGUGUCGUGAGAUGUUGGGUUAAGUCCCGCAACGAGCGCAACCCCUAUUGUUAGUUGCCAGCAUUUCGGAUGGGAACUCUAAUGAGACUGCCGGGGAUAACUCGGAGGAAGGUGGGGACGACGUCAAAUCAUCAUGCCCUUUAUGUCUUGGGCUACACACGUGCUACAAUGGUCGGUACAAAGAGCUGCGAACUCGUAAGAGUAAGCGAAUCUCAAAAAGCCGGUCUCAGUUCGGAUUGUGGGCUGCAACCCGCCCACAUGAAGUCGGAGUUGCUAGUAAUCGCGGAUCAGCAUGCCGCGGUGAAUGCGUUCCCGGGCCUUGUACACACCGCCCGUCACACCAUGGAAGUUGGGGGCGCCCGAAGCCAGUGGCCUAACCGCAAGGAGGGAGCUGUCUAAGGUGAAACCAAUGACUGGGGUGAAGUCGUAACAAGGUAACCAA
This 1496-nucleotide ribosomal RNA is filed under the name uncultured bacterium. Its description in RNAcentral is "bacterial SSU rRNA". It matches the Rfam family "Bacterial small subunit ribosomal RNA". The record is from RNAcentral.